CGUAGGGUGCGAGCGUUAAUCGGAAUUACUGGGCGUAAAGCGUGCGCAGGCGGUUUUGUAAGACAGAUGUGAAAUCCCCGGGCUUAACCUGGGAACUGCGUUUGUGACUGCAAGGCUAGAGUACGGCAGAGGGGGUGGAAUUCCUGGUGUAGCAGUGAAAUGCGUAGAUAUCAGGAGGAACACCGAUGGCGAAGGCAGCCCCCUGGGCCUGUACUGACGCUCAUGCACGAAAGCGUGGGGGAGCAAACAGGAUU
This 254-nucleotide ribosomal RNA is filed under the name uncultured bacterium. RNAcentral describes it as "partial 16S ribosomal RNA". It matches the Rfam family "Bacterial small subunit ribosomal RNA", at positions 526 to 779 of the family's 1533-position model. The record is from RNAcentral.